RNAcentral lists this ribosomal RNA (601 nucleotides) under Streptomyces geysiriensis. RNAcentral's name for it is "bacterial SSU rRNA". It matches the Rfam family "Bacterial small subunit ribosomal RNA", at positions 232 to 843 of the family's 1533-position model. Lineage: Bacteria; Bacillati; Actinomycetota; Actinomycetes; Kitasatosporales; Streptomycetaceae. The record is from RNAcentral.
CGCGGCCUAUCAGCUUGUUGGUGAGGUAACGGCUCACCAAGGCGACGACGGGUAGCCGGCCUGAGAGGGCGACCGGCCACACUGGGACUGAGACACGGCCCAGACUCCUACGGGAGGCAGCAGUGGGGAAUAUUGCACAAUGGGCGAAAGCCUGAUGCAGCGACGCCGCGUGAGGGAUGACGGCCUUCGGGUUGUAAACCUCUUUCAGCAGGGAAGAAGCGAAAGUGACGGUACCUGCAGAAGAAGCGCCGGCUAACUACGUGCCAGCAGCCGCGGUAAUACGUAGGGCGCAAGCGUUGUCCGGAAUUAUUGGGCGUAAAGAGCUCGUAGGCGGCUUGUCACGUCGGUUGUGAAAGCCCGGGGCUUAACCCCGGGUCUGCAGUCGAUACGGGCAGGCUAGAGUUCGGUAGGGGAGAUCGGAAUUCCUGGUGUAGCGGUGAAAUGCGCAGAUAUCAGGAGGAACACCGGUGGCGAAGGCGGAUCUCUGGGCCGAUACUGACGCUGAGGAGCGAAAGCGUGGGGAGCGAACAGGAUUAGAUACCCUGGUAGUCCACGCCGUAAACGGUGGGCACUAGGUGUGGGCAACAUUCCACGUUGUCCG